This 356-nucleotide ribosomal RNA is filed under the name uncultured organism. RNAcentral's name for it is "bacterial LSU rRNA". It matches the Rfam family "Bacterial large subunit ribosomal RNA", at positions 2099 to 2465 of the family's 2925-position model. The record is from RNAcentral.
CUUUACUCUAGCUUGGCACUGAGUCGUACAUAUAUUUGUGCAGGAUAGGUGGGAGACUAUGAAAGAUGGACGCCAGUUCAUCUCGAGUCGUCGUUGAGAUACCACCCUUGUAUACGUAUGCCUCUAACCCCUUUUUGGGGGACCGUGCUUGGUGGGGAGUUUAACUGGGGCGGUUGCCUCCUAAAACGUAACGGAGGCGCACAAAGGUAGGCUAGGUCCGGAUGGAAAUCGGACUGGUCGUGUAUUCGCACAAGCCUGCUUGACUGAGAGACCUACAAGUCGAUCAGAGACGAAAGUCGGUGAAAGUGAUCCGGCACCAACAUGUGGGAGUGGUGUCGCUCAACGGAUAAAAGUUA